GGGGAUGUAACUCAGUGGUAGAGUGGUCGCUUUGCAUGCGACAAGUCGGGAGUUCGAUUCUCCUCAUCUCCA
Nitzschia inconspicua is the source of this 72-nucleotide non-coding RNA. The record is from the annotation of a GenBank genome assembly. NCBI's taxonomy places the organism in Eukaryota, Bacillariophyta, Bacillariophyceae, Bacillariales, Bacillariaceae.